CACACACACACACACACACAGGGCAGUUAAGCUUGUGGGAGUGUAGUGUUAAUACCACACCACAUCACCACCACCACCACCACUACCAUACAUUAUAUCAUACCACACAUUACAGCACUACACCACCAUACCACGGUAUCCUUGGCGCUCCGACCUGCCCAGCCCCGCCGAGCCCCUCCGACCCCCGCCCCGUCCCGCCGCGGCUAAGAUAUGAAAUUAUUUGGAUUAUCAGUCAAGAAAGGUUCAAGCUGCUGGAGGAAAGUAAAAAAUAGCUCAUCUAAUGCCUAGACUCAGCCCUAGAGGAAGCACCUGCCUGGAGCUGGCCACUGCAGAGCUGCUUCAGAGGAAUCGCGAGGCCACGCAAGCAGCGCCGAGGUGGUGAAGGAAUGCACCACGCCCUCACUCGUCACGGCACGCCAUAUGUAUUAUCAAGCGAGCCGUGACAAGUACCUCAUCUGUCUCCAUCGCUCAAUAUUGGAGCCUUUGGCCAAACCCCCGAGCUGUGAGUCAACGCCAACCACAGCGGCGCACACCAAGGCUGUGUGUGGGUCUGGGCGACACACACCUCAGAACACUUCAUGAAGCAGCGAUGGCAGACCACACUAAACUUUACUCAAUAUUGCAGAAUUCUUCAAUGGCACGCUUACAACAAAGACUGCACCACCAACUCACAUCGACGCAGACUGCAUUGAUGUAGUCAGUGUUGUUGUUGCCUUGGAAUGAAGUGAUGUACGGCCGGAAGUUGUCAGCUGCAAUGAAGAAACACACACGGAAAAAAAAAAACAUUAACAUAAUUCAUAAUAUAACAUCAUCUAAUGUUAGUACAAAGCUUCUCUCAGAUUUCUCUCCUAUAAACCUACCGCGCCUC
Long non-coding RNA from Scylla paramamosain (green mud crab), 868 nucleotides. RefSeq lists it as uncharacterized. The transcript has 5 exons. NCBI's taxonomy places the organism in Eukaryota, Metazoa, Arthropoda, Malacostraca, Decapoda, Portunidae. The record is from RefSeq and is a predicted model, not a curated record.